This 253-nucleotide ribosomal RNA is filed under the name uncultured bacterium. RNAcentral's name for it is "partial 16S ribosomal RNA". It matches the Rfam family "Bacterial small subunit ribosomal RNA", at positions 524 to 776 of the family's 1533-position model. The record is from RNAcentral.
UACGAAGGGGGCUAGCGUUACUCGGAUUGACUGGGCGUAAAGGGCGUGUAGGCGGUUUGUUAAGUCAUGUGUGAAAUCCCUCGGCUCAACCGGGGAAGGACGCAUGAAACUGGCAAGCUAGAGUGUGAUAGAGGAUGGUGGAAUUCCCGGUGUAGCGGUGAAAUGCGUAGAGAUCGGGAGGAACAUCAGUGGCGAAGGCGGCCAUCUGGAUCAACACUGACGCUGAGGCACGAAAGCGUGGGGAGCAAACAGG